Molecule: long non-coding RNA, 830 nt
Filed under: Cyanistes caeruleus (blue tit)
Lineage: Eukaryota; Metazoa; Chordata; Aves; Passeriformes; Paridae
Description: lncRNA (ENSCCEG00000013981.1)
Source: RNAcentral
CAUCUUCACAAAAUAUUUUACAGAAAGAAAAUGUGAUACACAUAAAGAUGCCAGCUGGAUGUUUAAUUUAAUGCAACAGAAAUUUCUGAUUUGGCAUGCAAAGGAAAACUUCAUAAUUCCAGAUUGAGGAACUGAGCAGGAAACACAGUGAAAGUCCUCAUAUUUCUACCAAACUAUGCAGCAAGAAGACACUUCAAAUUGCUCUCUCCAAAAAGAUAGUAGAAUGUUUUGCUUUUCUUAGAAGCUGUAUUUUAAGCUUCCUUAAAUUAACAUUUCAGCUGUCUUUGUAUAAAUCACUCAGAAAAUAUUCCUACUCUGAAGACAGUACAGAGCCUGCUUUGCAAGACCCACAAAUUGGACUGCUAUAAAAUGACAUUUCUUUUCUUAAUACUGGAAUGCAACAUGCUGUUGGCAUGGGACUGUCCUGUGGGGAACCAGGAAGACAAGAGAGCUGGAUUUUAACCUGCAGAGAAAAAAAAUGCUAGUUUUAACUCCUACAAUCCAUUUCACCAAGAAGCCUGGCUACUUUUAAGCUCUGAAAUCCAUUCCACCAAACAGUUUCCCCAACAGUUGUACCAGCACAAUGGAGGGUCUUGUAUGGAGGCAGGAAGGGGUGGUGAGGAGUAGGGACGGCUUAGCCAGCCCAACACGGAAAGAAAUGUUCCUCUAAUUACAGUCUGAGAGUUUUAUUCUCUUCUGCACUAAAGGCCUUCACAGUGCUUUGGCUGUGUGAAGGAGACAUUAAACAAGUCUAAAUACAAUCUCUGUUUAUGUUACUAUUACUAAAAAUGGAGCAUUAAGACAUUUCUGAAGGAGUUGAAAAGCGUAGG